This 380-nucleotide unclassified non-coding RNA is filed under the name uncultured Tricholomataceae. RNAcentral's name for it is "sequence contains ITS1". The stretch from base 1 to 105 matches the Rfam family "5.8S ribosomal RNA", at positions 50 to 154 of the family's 154-position model. The record is from RNAcentral. Lineage: Eukaryota; Fungi; Basidiomycota; Agaricomycetes; Agaricales; Tricholomataceae.
GAAAUGCGAUAAGUAAUGUGAAUUGCAGAAUUCAGUGAAUCAUCGAAUCUUUGAACGCACCUUGCGCUCCUUGGUAUUCCGAGGAGCAUGCCUGUUUGAGUGUCAUUAAAUCAUCAACCUCUCCAACAUUUUGUGUUGGUUUGGCUUGGAUUUGUGGGAGACCUGUGUGGGCAUCUUAGUGAGGUCCACUCUCCUGAAAUAAAUUAGCGGAACCCUGUGUGGGACAAAGCCACUGGUGUGAUAAUUAUCUGCGCCAUUGUCUGAGUCUCCGUUCCUCUGUAAAAAGAGGGUUGGGGUGCUGCUUCAAACAGUCCAUUUGAAUUGGACAAAACCCUUGACAAUUUGACCUCAGAUCAGGUAGGACUACCCGCUGAACUUAA